This 73-nucleotide transfer RNA is filed under the name Dactylosporangium vinaceum subsp. matsuzakiense. RNAcentral describes it as "Dactylosporangium matsuzakiense tRNA". It matches the Rfam family "tRNA". Rfam says of the family: Transfer RNA (tRNA) molecules are approximately 80 nucleotides in length. Their secondary structure includes four short double-helical elements and three loops (D, anti-codon, and T loops). RNAcentral also lists the same sequence under 1 other name. The record is from Rfam by way of RNAcentral. Lineage: Bacteria; Bacillati; Actinomycetota; Actinomycetes; Micromonosporales; Micromonosporaceae.
AGGGCUGUAGCGCAGAGGUAGACGCACCGCCUUUGCAGGGCGGGGAACGCCGGUUCGACUCCGGCCGGCUCUG